UUAAAGGUGCUGAACGAUGUUGUU
Molecule: non-coding RNA, 24 nt
Filed under: Rattus norvegicus (Norway rat)
Lineage: Eukaryota; Metazoa; Chordata; Mammalia; Rodentia; Muridae
Source: RNAcentral